This 397-nucleotide ribosomal RNA is filed under the name uncultured bacterium. Its description in RNAcentral is "partial 16S ribosomal RNA". It matches the Rfam family "Bacterial small subunit ribosomal RNA", at positions 523 to 918 of the family's 1533-position model. The record is from RNAcentral.
AUACGUAGGUGACAAGCGUUAUCCGGAUUUACUGGGCGUAAAGGGCGUGUAGGCGGUCUUGCAAGUCAGAAGUGAAAUUCCUGAGCUCAACUCGGGCGCUGCUUCUGAAACUGCAGGACUUGAGUGCUGGAGGGGAUAGCGGAAUUCCCAGUGUAGCGGUGGAAUGCGUAGAGAUUGGGAGGACCACCAGUGGCGAAGGCGACUUACUGGGCCGUAACUGACGCUGAGGCGCGAAAGCGUGGGGAGCGAACAGGAUUAGAUACCCUGGUAGUCCACGCGGUAAACGAUGAAUGCUAGGUGUUGCGGGUAUCGACCCCUGCAGUGCCGGAGUAAACACAAUAAGCAUUCCGCCUGGGGAGUACGGCCGCAAGGUUGAAACUCAAAUGAAUUGGCGGGG